UACGAAGGGGGCUAGCGUUGUUCGGAAUUACUGGGCGUAAAGCGUGCGUAGACGGCUAUCUAAGUCGGGUGUGAAAGCCCCGGGCUCAACCUGGGAAUUGCAUUCGAGACUGAAUAGCUAGGGUACGGUAGAGGGAAGCGGAAUUUCCGGUGUAGCGGUGAAAUGCGUAGAUAUCGGAAGGAACAUCAGUGGCGAAAGCGGCUUCCUGGACCAGUACCGACGUUCAGGCACGAAAGCGUGGGGAGCAAACAGG
RNAcentral lists this ribosomal RNA (253 nucleotides) under uncultured bacterium. Its description in RNAcentral is "partial 16S ribosomal RNA". It matches the Rfam family "Bacterial small subunit ribosomal RNA", at positions 524 to 776 of the family's 1533-position model. The record is from RNAcentral.